Molecule: ribosomal RNA, 197 nt
Filed under: Escherichia coli
Lineage: Bacteria; Pseudomonadati; Pseudomonadota; Gammaproteobacteria; Enterobacterales; Enterobacteriaceae
Also listed under: 1 other name
Description: partial 23S ribosomal RNA
Rfam family: Bacterial large subunit ribosomal RNA
Source: RNAcentral
GGUUAAGCGACUAAGCGUACACGGUGGAUGCCCUGGCAGUCAGAGGCGAUGAAGGACGUGCUAAUCUGCGAUAAGCGUCGGUAAGGUGAUAUGAACCGUUAUAACCGGCGAUUUCCGAAUGGGGAAACCCAGUGUGUUUCGACACACUAUCAUUAACUGAAUCCAUAGGUUAAUGAGGCGAACCGGGGGAACUGAAA